This is a non-coding RNA of Paramuricea clavata, 97 nucleotides long. NCBI's taxonomy places the organism in Eukaryota, Metazoa, Cnidaria, Anthozoa, Malacalcyonacea, Plexauridae. The record is from the annotation of a GenBank genome assembly.
AUUAAAUGUGGAAAUAAGCUUAAACAUGAAAAUAAGGCUGAGGGGCCCUCAGCCUCGUUUUCGUGUUUAAGCUUAUUUUCACAUUUAUUGGUCAAAA